GGUCAAGUUAUUAAGGGUGCAGGGCGGAUGCCUUGGCACUAGGAGCCGAUGAAGGACGUGAUAAGCUGCGAUAAGCUUCGGGGAGUUGCACGUAAACUUUGAUCCGAAGAUUUCCGAAUGAGGAAACUCACUUAGAGUAAUGUCUAAGUAUCAUUAAGUGAAUACAUAGCUUAAUGAGGGGAACUCAGGGAACUGAAACAUCUAAGUACCUGAAGGAAGAGAAAGAAAUUCGAUUCCGUAAGUAGCGGCGAGCGAACGCGGAUUAGCCCAAACCAAUAAAGUUUUCUUUAUUGGGGUUGCGGACAUAUCAUAACGAAGAGGUAUCGUAAUUGAAGAGGUUUGGAAAGACCCACCACAGAAGGUAAUAGUCCUGUAUGUUAAACGAGAAGACUUCAGAUAUGAUCCAGAGUACCACGGGACACGUGAAACCCUGUGGGAAGCAGGAGGGACCACCCUCCAAGGCUAAAUACUACCUAGUGACCGAUAGCGUAUAGUACCGUGAGGGAAAGGUGAAAAGAACCCCGGGAGGGGAGUGAAAUAGAACCUGAAACCCUGCACUUACAAGCUGUGGAAGCACAUUUCUUGUGUGACCGCGUACUUUUUGUAGAACGGGCCAACGAGUUACGUUAAGUAGCAAGGUUAAGCACUUAAGGUGUGGAGCCGUAGCGAAAGCGAGUUUUAACUGAGCGUUCAGUUACUUGACGUAGACCCGAAACCGGGCGACCUACCCAUGAGCAGGAUGAAGCGAAAGUAAAAUUUCGUGGAGGUCCGAACCCACGAGCGUUGAAAAGCUCGGGGAUGACUUGUGGGUAGCGGUGAAAUUCCAAUCGAGCCCGGAGAUAGCUGGUUCUCCCCGAAAUAGCUUUAGGGCUAGCCUCAAGGUGAGAGAUACGGAGGUAGAGCACUGAAUGUCCUAGUGGGUAUUGCACCUACCGAAGACUAUCAAACUCCGAAUGCCGUCAUCUUAUACUUGGGAGUCAGACUGUGGGUGAUAAGAUUCAUAGUCGAAAGGGCAACAGCCCAGAUCGUCAGCUAAGGUCCCUAAAUGUAAGUUAAGUGGUAAAGGAUGUGGGAUUGCACAGACAACCAGGAUGUUGGCUUAGAAGCAGCCACUCAUUCAAAGAGUGCGUAAUAGCUCACUGGUCGAGUGAUCCUGCGCCGAAGAUUUCCGGGGCUAAAACUUACUACCGAAGCUACGGCAUCAGUAAUGAUGGGUAGGGGAGCUUCCCAUACGGGUUGAAGCAUGACCGUAAGGACAUGUGGACAGUAUGGGAGUGAGAAUGUUGGCAUGAGUAGCGAGAUGUGGGUGAGAAUCCCACAGGCCGUAAACCCAAGGUUUCCAGGGGAAGGUUCGUCCGCCCUGGGUUAGUCGGGACCUAAGCUGAGGCCGAAAGGCGUAGGUGAUGGACAACAGGUUGAUAUUCCUGUACUACCGAUAACCGUUUGAGAGAAGGGAUGACACAGUAGGAUAAGCUAAGCACACUGUUGGUUAUGUGUGCCCAAGCAUUGAGGCAGUCAAAGUAGGCAAAUCCGCUUUGAUAAUGCUGGGAUGUGAUGGGGAGCGAAAUUUAGUAGCGAAGUAGCUGAUUUCACACUGUCAAGAAAAGUCUCUAUCGAGGUUAAAGGUACCCGUACCGCAAACCGACACAGGUGGGUGAGGAGAGUAUCCUAAGGCCAGCGAGAGAACUGUUGUUAAGGAACUCGGCAAAAUGACCCCGUAACUUAGGGAUAAGGGGUGCCACCAUCAGGUGGCCGCAGAGAAUAGGCCCAAGCGACUGUUUACCAAAAACAUAGGUUUCUGCUAAGUCGCAAGACGAUGUAUAGGAGCUGACGCCUGCCCGGUGCUGGAAGGUUAAGGGGAUCUGUUAGAGCAAUCGAAGCAGUGAACUUAAGCCCCAGUAAACGGCGGCCGUAACUAUAACGGUCCUAAGGUAGCGAAAUUCCUUGUCGGGUAAGUUCCGACCCGCACGAAAGGCGUAACGAUUUGGGCACUGUCUCAACAACAGACUCGGUGAAAUUGUAAUUCCGGUGAAGAUGCCGGAUACCUGCGACAGGACGGAAAGACCCCAUGGAGCUUUACUGUAGCUUGACAUUGGGUUUUGGUACUACAUGUACAGGAUAGGUGGGAGGCUUUGAAACCAGGACGCCAGUUUUGGCGGAGCCAUCCUUGGGAUACCACCCUUGUAGUACUGGGACUCUAACCAUAGGCCAUGAAUCUGGUCUUGGGACACUGUCAGGUGGGCAGUUUGACUGGGGCGGUCGCCUCCCAAAAGGUAACGGAGGCGCUCAAAGGUUCUCUCAGUACGGUCGGAAAUCGUACGUAGAGUGUAAAGGCAAAAGAGAGCUUGAUUGCAAGACAUACAGGUCGAGCAAGGAUGAAAAUCGGACUUAGUGAUCCGGUGGUUCUGCGUGGAAGGGCCAUCGCUCAACGGAUAAAAGCUACCCUGGGGAUAACAGGCUUAUCUCCCCCAAGAGUCCACAUCGACGGGGAGGUUUGGCACCUCGAUGUCGGCUCAUCACAUCCUGGGGCUGUAGUAGGUCCCAAGGGUUGGGCUGUUCGCCCAUUAAAGUGGUACGCGAGCUGGGUUCAGAACGUCGUGAGACAGUUCGGUCCCUAUCCGUCGCAGGCGUAGGAAAUUUGAGAAGACCUGUCCUUAGUACGAGAGGACCGGGAUGGACGUACCUCUGGUGUACCAGUUGUUCUGCCAAGGGCAUGGCUGGGUAGCUAUGUACGGAAUGGAUAAGCGCUGAAAGCAUCUAAGCGCGAAGCCAACUUCAAGAUAAGAUUUCCCACCGCAAGGGUAAGAUCCCAGAAAGACUAUCUGGUUGAUAGGUCGAAGGUGUAAGUGCAGCAAUGUAUUUAGCUUAUCGAUACUAAUAGGUCGAGGACUUGACCAA
Molecule: ribosomal RNA, 2898 nt
Filed under: Clostridioides difficile
Lineage: Bacteria; Bacillati; Bacillota; Clostridia; Peptostreptococcales; Peptostreptococcaceae
Description: 23S ribosomal RNA
Rfam family: Bacterial large subunit ribosomal RNA
Source: RNAcentral